CCCGGCGCCUUGCAGGGGGACGGUCCCGGUGGCUGAGCCACCUCUGCUCUGGUGUGUGGUGCUGGAACUUUGAAUAUUGCAGAGAAAUGGAGGAUUGCCACAUCACAAUGUCCACCCUCUUCUAAGCAUGCGAGCAACCUGAACAGCAAAAGAGGAAUGUGUUGUUUGAGAGGCAAACAUAUAUCCCUACCAGUGCAGACAGAAAUCUUUCUCUUGCAGACGGGAGACUGAGGCACAGGAAGCCCACGAUUUGCCUAAGUAGUACGGACCAUCUGGACCUAAGCAGGAAAUGAGCUGGGUCUCCAGAACUCCAGAACAAGGCCGUCAUCAUAGGGUCAUCUAUUUUCCCUGUGCCAUGAUGCUUCUU
This is a long non-coding RNA of Grus americana (Whooping crane), 367 nucleotides long. RefSeq lists it as uncharacterized. Lineage: Eukaryota; Metazoa; Chordata; Aves; Gruiformes; Gruidae. The record is from RefSeq and is a predicted model, not a curated record. The transcript has 3 exons.